Molecule: ribosomal RNA, 465 nt
Filed under: uncultured bacterium
Lineage: Bacteria
Description: partial 16S ribosomal RNA
Rfam family: Bacterial small subunit ribosomal RNA
Source: RNAcentral
CCUACGGGUGGCAGCAGUAGGGAAUCUUCCACAAUGGGCGCAAGCCUGAUGGAGCAACACCGCGUGAGUGAAGAAGGGUUUCGGCUCGUAAAGCUCUGUUGUUGGAGAAGAACGUGCGUGAGAGUAACUGUUCACGCAGUGACGGUAUCCAACCAGAAAGUCACGGCUAACUACGUGCCAGCAGCCGCGGUAAUACGUAGGUGGCAAGCGUUAUCCGGAUUUAUUGGGCGUAAAGCGAGCGCAGGCGGUUGCUUAGGUCUGAUGUGAAAGCCUUCGGCUUAACCGAAGAAGUGCAUCGGAAACCGGGCGACUUGAGUGCAGAAGAGGACAGUGGAACUCCAUGUGUAGCGGUGGAAUGCGUAGAUAUAUGGAAGAACAUCAGUGGCGAAGGCGACUAUCUGGCACAUAACUGACGCUGAGGAGCGAAAGCGUGGGUAGCAAACAGGAUUAGAUACCCGAGUAGUC